This 334-nucleotide ribosomal RNA is filed under the name Aurantiochytrium limacinum. Its description in RNAcentral is "partial Bacterial small subunit ribosomal RNA". It matches the Rfam family "Bacterial small subunit ribosomal RNA", at positions 1 to 340 of the family's 1533-position model. Lineage: Eukaryota; Bigyra; Thraustochytrida; Thraustochytriidae. The record is from RNAcentral.
UUGAAGAGUUUGAUCAUGGCUCAGAUUGAACGCUGGCGGCAGGCCUAACACAUGCAAGUCGAACGGCAGCACGGGCUUCGGCCUGGUGGCGAGUGGCGAACGGGUGAGUAAUACAUCGGAACGUACCCAGAAGUGGGGGAUAACGCAGCGAAAGUUGCGCUAAUACCGCAUACGUUCUACGGAAGAAAGUGGGGGAUCGCAAGACCUCAUGCUUUUGGAGCGGCCGAUGUCUGAUUAGCUAGUUGGUGGGGUAAAGGCCUACCAAGGCGACGAUCUGUAGCGGGUCUGAGAGGAUGAUCCGCCACACUGGGACUGAGACACGGCCCAGACUCCU